This 301-nucleotide ribosomal RNA is filed under the name uncultured bacterium. RNAcentral describes it as "partial 16S ribosomal RNA". It matches the Rfam family "Bacterial small subunit ribosomal RNA", at positions 512 to 808 of the family's 1533-position model. The record is from RNAcentral.
CAGUCCCGCGGGAAUACGUAGGGUCCGAGCGUUGUCCGGAAUUAUUGGGCGUAAAGGGCUCGUAGGCGGUUUGUUGCGUCGGGAGUGAAAACCGGGUGCUUAACACCUGGCUUGCUUUCGAUACGGGCAGACUUGAGGCAUGCAGGGGAGAACGGAAUUCCUGGUGUAGCGGUGAAAUGCGCAGAUAUCAGGAGGAACACCGGUGGCGAAGGCGGUUCUCUGGGCAUGUUCUGACGCUGAGGAGCGAAAGUGUGGGGAGCGAACAGGAUUAGAUACCCCCGUAGUCCCUGUCUCUUAUACA